GGGUUGCUAACUCAACGGUAGAGUACUCGGCUUUUAAUGAAUCAAAUCACUAUUCAACAAUGUUCUUAUAAUCCC
This 75-nucleotide transfer RNA is filed under the name Phedimus odontophyllus. RNAcentral describes it as "tRNA-Lys". Lineage: Eukaryota; Viridiplantae; Streptophyta; Magnoliopsida; Saxifragales; Crassulaceae. The record is from RNAcentral.